RNAcentral lists this ribosomal RNA (440 nucleotides) under uncultured bacterium. RNAcentral's name for it is "partial 16S ribosomal RNA". It matches the Rfam family "Bacterial small subunit ribosomal RNA", at positions 338 to 795 of the family's 1533-position model. The record is from RNAcentral.
CCUACGGGAGGCAGCAGUGGGGAAUAUUGCACAAUGGGGGAAACCCUGAUGCAGCCACGCCGCGUGAGUGAAGAAGUAUCUCGGUAUGUAAAGCUCUAUCAGCAGGGAAGAGAAUGACGGUACCUGACUAAGAAGCCCCGGCUAACUACGUGCCAGCAGCCGCGGUACUACGUAGGGGGCCAGCGUUAUCCGGAUUUACUGGGGGGAAAGGGAGCGUAGACGGCUGGCCAAGUCUGAAGUGAAAGCCCGGGGCUUAACCCCGGAACGGCUUUGGAAACUGGCCGGCUGGAGUGCUGGAGAGGCAGGCGGAAUGCCUGGUGUAGCGGUGAAAUGCGUAGAUAUCAGGAGGAACACCGAUGGCGAAGGCGGCAUGCUGGACAGUAACUGACGCUGAGGCUCGAAAGCGUGGGGAGCAAACAGGAUUAGAUACCCGAGUAGUC